ACUUGGAUAUGGAUUCUUCACGGUAACGUAACUGAAUGUGGAGACGUCGGCGUGAGCACUGGGAGGAGUUCUNNNUUCUUCUUAACAGCUUAUCACCCUGGAAUUGGUUUAUCCGGAGAUAGGGUCUUAUGGCUGGAAGAGCGUAGUACUUUUGCUACGUCCGGUGCGCUCACGACGGUCCUUGAAAAUCCACAGGAAGGAUUAGUUUUCAUGCCAAGUCGUACU
Molecule: ribosomal RNA, 225 nt
Filed under: Yamadazyma mexicana
Lineage: Eukaryota; Fungi; Ascomycota; Pichiomycetes; Serinales; Debaryomycetaceae
Description: partial 26S rRNA
Rfam family: Eukaryotic large subunit ribosomal RNA
Source: RNAcentral